This 253-nucleotide ribosomal RNA is filed under the name uncultured bacterium. RNAcentral's name for it is "partial 16S ribosomal RNA". It matches the Rfam family "Bacterial small subunit ribosomal RNA", at positions 524 to 776 of the family's 1533-position model. The record is from RNAcentral.
UACGUAUGGUGCAAGCGUUAUCCGGAUUUACUGGGUGUAAAGGGUGCGUAGGUGGCAUGGCAAGUCAGAAGUGAAAGGCCGGGGCUCAACCCCGGGACUGCUUUUGAAACUGUCAGGCUGGAGUGCAGGAGAGGAAAGCGGAAUUCCUAGUGUAGCGGUGAAAUGCGUAGAUAUUAGGAGGAACACCAGUGGCGAAGGCGGCUUUCUGGACUGAAACUGACACUGAGGCACGAAAGCGUGGGGAGCAAACAGG